UGCGCAGGCGGUUUUGUAAGACAGGCGUGAAAUCCCCGGGCUCAACCUGGGAAUUGCGCUUGUGACUGCAAGGCUGGAGUGCGGCAGAGGGGGAUGGAAUUCCGCGUGUAGCAGUGAAAUGCGUAGAUAUGCGGAGGAACACCGAUGGCGAAGGCAAUCCCCUGGGCCUGCACUGACGCUCAUGCACGAAAGCGUGGGGAGCAAACA
RNAcentral lists this ribosomal RNA (207 nucleotides) under uncultured bacterium. RNAcentral's name for it is "partial 16S ribosomal RNA". It matches the Rfam family "Bacterial small subunit ribosomal RNA", at positions 568 to 774 of the family's 1533-position model. The record is from RNAcentral.